GAUGAACGCUAGCUACAGGCUUAACACAUGCAAGUCGAGGGGAAACGAUAUUGGAAGCUUGCUUCCGAUAGGCGUCGACCGGCGCACGGGUGAGUAACGCGUAUCCAACCUGCCCAUCACUUGGGAAUAACCUUGCGAAAGUAAGACUAAUGCCCAAUGACAUUUAUAGAAGGCAUCUGAAAUGAAUUAAAGAUUUAUCGGUGAUGGAUGGGGAUGCGUCUGAUUAGCUUGUUGGCGGGGUAACGGCCCACCAAGGCGACGAUCAGUAGGGGUUCUGAGAGGAAGGUCCCCCCACAUUGGAACUGAGACACGGUCCAAACUCCUACGGGAGGCAGCAGUGAGGAAUAUUGGUCAAUGGACGAGAGUCUGAACCAGCCAAGUAGCGUGCAGGAUGACGGCCCUAUGGGUUGUAAACUGCUUUUAUGUGGGAAUAAAGUCAGGGACGUGUCCCUGUUUGCAUGUACCACAGGAAUAAGGACCGGCUAAUUCCGUGCCAGCAGCCG
This 503-nucleotide ribosomal RNA is filed under the name uncultured bacterium. RNAcentral describes it as "bacterial SSU rRNA". It matches the Rfam family "Bacterial small subunit ribosomal RNA", at positions 28 to 517 of the family's 1533-position model. The record is from RNAcentral.